This is a non-coding RNA of Aegilops tauschii subsp. strangulata, 2493 nucleotides long. NCBI's taxonomy places the organism in Eukaryota, Viridiplantae, Streptophyta, Magnoliopsida, Poales, Poaceae. The record is from RefSeq and is a predicted model, not a curated record.
CACAGUCCACAACGCCCCCGAACCACUAGCUCGAGCUCGAGGAGCUCCCUGACGCCCAUCGCCACCAUGGCCGCCGCCUCGAGCUAUGCCCGAUUCCGGCGAUGCCGUGCCCCUCUCCCCGUUCCCCCACCACCUAUGCGUUCCCCGAGGUCCGGCGCACCUCCCCGUAGCCUUGCCCACCCAGUUCCCCCACCGGAGCCCCUGUUCGCCGGAGUCCGAAGACCACCUCCGCCGCGAGCCCUGCUGCUCCUUCUCUCGUGCUCCUCGCCGGCAACAGACACCACCACGGGAUGCGCCUCUCGCUCCUGAGCUCGUGGAUAGGUCGGCCGUCGUCUGAGGCGGCCGGAGCCGCCGGCAAUCGCCGUCGAGGCGGGCGUCUCCCUCGGCGAGGCGCGCGUACGCGCGGGAGGAAGAAGAAGCCAGGCCAGGCGGGCCCCACCCUGCGGGACCCACCUGUCGGUGAGAGGAAGGCGUGGCCCCGCUGGCCACGUCGGAUAAGUGGACGCGCCCGGCCACAGAAGCCGUUUGCCUGCUCUGGAAACGUAUUCCUCUGGAAUACGCUGUCCAAGUCAGAAAAUGUAUUCCCUGGGCACUUCGGCCCGAAAUGCGUUUCCCUGUGCGGAAAACGUAUUCAGCCCAAAGGCACGUUCAGUUUUUCCUCCAGGGGCCUGCUUGCUGAAAUUUUUUCACCGAUAGGUCCCUGAGCUUCAACCCUCCGUAUCUUUUUACCCGUAGCUCCAAAUCAGCCCCCUUCGAGAGAGAACUGUUUUCGGCAAAUCUUUCCGCGAUCGUUCCGCACUUUUUCCGGAGUAAUCCUCGACCCCAGGCAAGCCAACCUCUUAUCAUGAGCCCCGAACUUGCAUGUUGACUUUGCUGGUACCUCGUGUGUGUGCUUAGUUGCAGUAGUUUUUGUCUGUUUCAUCUGCCGUUAUUUCAGUUGUGAUAUAUGUUAGUACUGCUUGCUUACCUCUCAUGAUAGCUUUUGCCAUGCUAGUUAUAUUGUUGUUGAUAAUAUCAUGCCUCUAUCUAGUGUAGUUCAUUCCAUUAGUCUUGAUGUUAUGAUGAUUUUGUUGCACCGUCAAUAAGCUAGUAUCUAGUAUUGUUAUGUUUCAUAUGCUAUAACUGUUCACUGGAGUAGCUUGAUAUUUGUUAAUGCAUUUGUUAGUUGAAUGUUCAUUGUUGCAUUCUUGUUUAAUAUGCUCAUAAUGUUGUUGAUGGUGGAGAAGUUAAUAAUAUGACUUAAUAACAAACCUCCUCCUCCAUCACCGGGAUAUCAUAGUGCCACCAAAUCGAGCUUUCACCAGUGCAACCACAUUUACCUUGUGGGAAGGUCCUAGCUGGGUCUAUUGUCAUGCCUCUCGCCGGUGCCUCCCGCGAGGGAAGGUUAUGGGCGCGCUUACCCUGAUCAGGUAGGCGGACAUAAGCCUUGUGUGCCCGGGUUUGGUUUUGAGCUCAUGUCCCCGUUUGGGACCGUUUUGCCACGACGGUGGCCGUUGGUACCUUUGGUAGGUACGGGGCCACCCAGAACUGAACCCUUAAGGGGUGUUGGUCGGAGUGGCCGGGAGGGCGUCAUGGCAGUAGAUCGGUUUGUCGGAAUGCUUUGGUCCGCACGUAUGGGAGUGCGAGACCAGGGUUCCGUAGUGUGGGUAAAGUGUGCUACCUCUGCAGAGUAUAUUCAAUCUAUCGAUAGCCGCGUCCUAGGUCAUGGGCACAGGUUCAUAGUAGGUCACACUAUCGGGUCUCGGUCGAAAUGCAGGAUAAAUCAACUAAUUAAUUAUGUGAUAACUAAGAUGUGAUAACUAAUGUGAUGGCUUGGACUAUGAAAUAAUCAUGAGAAGUCACGAUGAUGUGUUGAUAUGACCCCGAGACGAGGUCUCGGUAAGUCAUGAUCGUGCUCCGAGGAGCCGUGGCAGAGUAAGUGAUUGUGGCAUAAGGUUAUUAUAACAUGUCUUCACGGGAGGUAACUGGUAGUUUAUUUUCAGCAUAGUUUCAUGAUGUCAUGCCCUGUUUUGAUAUGCCAUGCUUUGCUGUUGUUAUGAUAGAAGUAAGUUUGAUAUGCCAUGAUAGUUGAUGCUAUGAUGUUGUUCAUGCCUAGUUUGAAUUAUGAUUCUAGUUAAUAUCAUGCCAUGCUUAGAAGUUGUGUUGAUGUAGACUGUUGCAUAUGCUUGGUUCUUGCUUUGUCUUCUGUUUGUUUGGAUGCUAUGUAUUUGGUUGUCUUGCAAGUGCAUUCAAUCUACUGACCUGGCGUGUCAUGCCAGUUUUGUAGGUCGUUUGCUUGUUCCGUCGUGCUAGGCCGUAAUCUUGCCAGUCCUGUGCGUUAUGGAGCCCAGCCUUAGUGAGACGCUGCCAAACCAAGACUUCCGCCGCCAUUUAUAUGGACUUCUGCUGCCAUGUAAAUAGCCUUAGGGCUAUGCCAGAAAAUUGUAUUCAUCAAUGAUGUAAUCUUACACACAUGUAUUUGAUGAAUAUUAUUGUACCUGGAAUGUUGUAUCA